This 251-nucleotide ribosomal RNA is filed under the name uncultured bacterium. RNAcentral's name for it is "partial 16S ribosomal RNA". It matches the Rfam family "Bacterial small subunit ribosomal RNA", at positions 525 to 775 of the family's 1533-position model. The record is from RNAcentral.
ACGUAGGGUGCAAGCGUUGUCCGGAAUUACUGGGUGUAAAGGGAGCGCAGGCGGGAAGACAAGUUGGAAGUGAAAACCAUGGGCUCAACCCAUGAAUUGCUUUCAAAACUGUUUUUCUUGAGUAGUGCAGAGGUAGAUGGAAUUUCCGGUGUAGCGGUGGAAUGCGUAGAUAUCGGGAGGAACACCAGUGGCGAAGGCGGUCUACUGGGCACCAACUGACGCUGAGGCUCGAAAGCAUGGGUAGCAAACAG